UGCAGUCGAGGGGUAUAGGUUUUCGGACCUAGAGACCGGCGCACGGGUGCGUAACGCGUAUGCAAUCUACCUUUUACAGAGGGAUAGCCCAGAGAAAUUUGGAUUAAUACCUCAUAGUAUUAUUGAAUGGCAUCAUUUAAUAAUUAAAGUCACAACGGUAAAAGAUGAGCAUGCGUCCCAUUAGCUUGUUGGUAAGGUAACGGCUUACCAAGGCAACGAUGGGUAGGGGUCCUGAGAGGGAGAUCCCCCACACUGGUACUGAGACACGGACCAGACUCCUACGGGAGGCAGCAGUGAGGAAUAUUGGUCAAUGGGCGCAAGCCUGAACCAGCCAUGCCGCGUGCAGGAUGACGGUCCUAUGGAUUGUAAACUGCUUUUGUACAGGAAGAAACAGUUCUACGUGUAGAACCUUGACGGUACUGUAAGAAUAAGGAUCGGCUAACUCCGUGCCAGCAGCCGCGGUAAUACGGAGGAUCCAAGCGUUAUCCGGAAUCAUUGGGUUUAAAGGGUCCGUAGGCGGUUUUGUAAGUCAGUGGUGAAAGCCCAUCGCUCAACGGUGGAACGGCCAUUGAUACUGCAAGACUUGAAUUAUUAGGAAGUAACUAGAAUAUGUAGUGUAGCGGUGAAAUGCUUAGAGAUUACAUGGAAUACCAAUUGCGAAGGCAGGUUACUACUAAUGGAUUGACGCUGAUGGACGAAAGCGUGGGGAG
Molecule: ribosomal RNA, 710 nt
Filed under: uncultured bacterium
Lineage: Bacteria
Description: bacterial SSU rRNA
Rfam family: Bacterial small subunit ribosomal RNA
Source: RNAcentral